GACGAACCGUGCGAACGUUGUUCGGAAUCACUGGGCAUAAAGGGCGCGUAGGCGGCUCGUCAAGUCAGGGGUGAAAUCCGGCAGCUUAACUGUCGAAGUGCCUUUGAUACUGGCGAGCUCGAGGGAGGUAGGGGUGUGCGGAACUUCCAGUGGAGCGGCGAAAUGUGGUGAUAUUGGAAGGAACGCCGGUGGCGAAAGCGGCGCACUGGACCUCUUCUGACGCUGAGGCGCGAAAGCUAGGGGAGCAAACGGG
This 253-nucleotide ribosomal RNA is filed under the name uncultured bacterium. Its description in RNAcentral is "partial 16S ribosomal RNA". It matches the Rfam family "Bacterial small subunit ribosomal RNA", at positions 524 to 776 of the family's 1533-position model. The record is from RNAcentral.